GACGAACGCUGGCGGCGUGCUUAACACAUGCAAGUCGAACGAUGAAGCCGGAGCUUGCUCUGGUGAAUUAGUGGCGAACGGGUGAGUAACACGUGAGUAACCUGCCCUUGACUCUGGGAUAACUGCGGGAAACUGUAGCUAAUACCGGAUACGACCCUCGGAGGCAUCUCCUGGGGGUGGAAAGAAUUUCGGUCAAGGAUGGACUCGCGGCCUAUCAGCUAGUUGGUGAGGUAAAGGCUCACCAAGGCGACGACGGGUAGCCGGCCUGAGAGGGUGACCGGCCACACUGGGACUGAGACACGGCCCAGAGUCCUACGGGAGGCAGCAGUGGUGAAUAUUGCGAAAUGGGCGCAAGCCUGAUGCAGCAACGCCGCGUGAGGGAUGACGGCCUUCGGGUUGUAAACCUCUUUUGUCAGGGAAGAAACGGGAUUGGCUAAUAUCCGAUCCUAAUGACGGUACCUGAAGAAUAAGCACCGGCUAAC
RNAcentral lists this ribosomal RNA (482 nucleotides) under uncultured bacterium. RNAcentral describes it as "partial 16S ribosomal RNA". It matches the Rfam family "Bacterial small subunit ribosomal RNA", at positions 28 to 501 of the family's 1533-position model. The record is from RNAcentral.